AUCAACUCCCUGAGACUGCUGGUGUGAAGUGCAGGCACAUCUCAUCUGGACACUUCUGCCUGGAGCCUCCCAGAGAUGGCUGCUGCAGAGUUGACCCAUCCAAUCUCCUGACUGGAGCAUCAGACUCUGGCUGCUGAUAUUCUGGAGUUGUUGGCGGGGAGAAGAUUAGUGGUCUCAACAUUCAACCUACCCAUCCCGUAGGCAAGAGGUCUUCCUCACCUGAAACAAGCAGAAUAGGAGUGGUUGGUGGCCAUGUUCAAAGUCCAUCCUUGACAUUUACUUCCACAAUGCAAGUAUUCAAGGUGUACAGCUUCCUGUGAGAACGUAAAAUGGCAGCUCUCUGUGGAGGCCUACCGG
Long non-coding RNA from Globicephala melas (long-finned pilot whale), 357 nucleotides. RefSeq lists it as uncharacterized. The record is from RefSeq and is a predicted model, not a curated record. NCBI's taxonomy places the organism in Eukaryota, Metazoa, Chordata, Mammalia, Artiodactyla, Delphinidae.